AAACCCUGAUCCAGCAACGCCGCGUGGAGGAUGAAGGUCUUCGGAUUGUAAACUCCUGUUAGGGGGGACGAAGGGAUGCCGGCGAAUAGUCGGCAAACUUGACGGUACCCCCAGAGGAAGCCCCGGCUAACUCUGUGCCAGCAGCCGCGGUAAUACAGAGGGGGCAAGCGUUAUUCGGAAUUAUUGGGCGUAAAGGGCGCGUAGGCGGCCUUGUAAGUCUUGGGUGAAAUCCCUCAGCUCAACUGAGGAACUGCCUCGGAUACUGCAGGGCUUGAGGCCGGGAGAGGGUAGUGGAAUUCCCAGUGUAGCGGUGAAAUGCGUAGAUAUUGGGAGGAACACCGGUGGCGAAGGCGGCUACCUGGACCGGUUCUGACGCUGAUGCGCGAAAGCGUGGGUAGCAAACAGGAUUAGAUACCCUGGUAGUCCACGCUGUAAACGAUGGGUGCUCGGUGUCGCGGGUAUCGACCCCUGCGGUGCCGUAGUUAACACGUAAGCA
This 496-nucleotide ribosomal RNA is filed under the name uncultured Acidobacteriota bacterium. RNAcentral's name for it is "bacterial SSU rRNA". It matches the Rfam family "Bacterial small subunit ribosomal RNA", at positions 378 to 866 of the family's 1533-position model. Lineage: Bacteria; Pseudomonadati; Acidobacteriota. The record is from RNAcentral.